Molecule: transfer RNA, 88 nt
Filed under: Escherichia coli
Lineage: Bacteria; Pseudomonadati; Pseudomonadota; Gammaproteobacteria; Enterobacterales; Enterobacteriaceae
Also listed under: 5 other names
Description: tRNA-Ser
Rfam family: tRNA
About the family: Transfer RNA (tRNA) molecules are approximately 80 nucleotides in length.
Source: RNAcentral
GGAAGUGUGGCCGAGCGGUUGAAGGCACCGGUCUUGAAAACCGGCGACCCGAAAGGGUUCCAGAGUUCGAAUCUCUGUGCUUCCGCCA